RNAcentral lists this unclassified non-coding RNA (400 nucleotides) under uncultured fungus. RNAcentral describes it as "sequence contains ITS1". The stretch from base 1 to 105 matches the Rfam family "5.8S ribosomal RNA", at positions 50 to 154 of the family's 154-position model. Lineage: Eukaryota; Fungi. The record is from RNAcentral.
AAAGAGCGAUAUGUAGUGCGAAAUGCGCUCACCUGAGAGUCAUCGAGUUUUUGAACGCAACUUGCGUCCCGCGGGCAACUGCGGGGCAUGUCUGUUUGAGGAUCGGAAUCUGUUGCUUCAUGCGAGGCAGAGUUGGGGCGUCGGAUCGGCGGCCUGGAACGGAGAGGAGGACAGUUUGCUGUCGCAGCGUGCUAGUUGCGUGGCAGCAAGGUCGCGGCAGGCAGCGGCUGUCCGCAGGUGUGUGGAGCAAGCUACUUUAGUUUGGUUUAUUUUAGUUUGGUUUAUUUUAGUUUGGAUGCGCACAAGCAUGUGCAAACAUGCGCAAACAUGCACAAGCAUGCGCACAUGCAAACAUGCACACCUGCACAGUACAUUUGAUCUCAAAUCAGACAGGACUACC